RNAcentral lists this ribosomal RNA (401 nucleotides) under Sarocladium strictum. RNAcentral's name for it is "partial small subunit ribosomal RNA". It matches the Rfam family "Eukaryotic small subunit ribosomal RNA", at positions 30 to 432 of the family's 1831-position model. The record is from RNAcentral. Lineage: Eukaryota; Fungi; Ascomycota; Sordariomycetes; Hypocreales; Sarocladiaceae.
GCUUGUCUCAAAGAUUAAGCCAUGCAUGUCUAAGUAUAAACAACUUUAUACUGUAAAACUGCGAACGGCUCAUUAUAUCAGCAAUUAUUUAUUUGAUGGUCUCUUACUACAUGGAUAACUGUGGUAAUUCUAGAGCUAAUACAUGCGUAAAAUCCCGACUCUCGGAAGGGGUGUAUUUAUUAGAUACAAAACCAAUGCCCUUCGGGGCUCCUUGGUGAUUCAUGAUAACUAUACGAAUCGCACGGCCUUGCGCCGGCGAUGGUUCAUUCAAAUUUCUUCCCUAUCAACUUUCGAUGUUUGGGUAUUGGCCAAACAUGGUUGCAACGGGUAACGGAGGGUUAGGGCUCGACCCCGGAGAAGGAGCCUGAGAAACGGCUACUACAUCCAAGGAAGGCAGCAGG